GGGUGCUUAGCUCAGUUGGGAGAGCGUCGCCCUUACAAGGCGAAGGUCGGGGGUUCGAGCCCCUCAGCACCCACCA
Molecule: transfer RNA, 76 nt
Filed under: Gammaproteobacteria bacterium
Lineage: Bacteria; Pseudomonadati; Pseudomonadota; Gammaproteobacteria
Also listed under: 1 other name
Description: tRNA-Val
Rfam family: tRNA
About the family: Transfer RNA (tRNA) molecules are approximately 80 nucleotides in length.
Source: RNAcentral